GGGGGGGUGAGUGGAAGAGGGGGGUGUAGGACGAACCGGGGGAACGUGGUUCGGAGUGACUGGGGUGAAAGGGCGCGGAGGCGGGGGGUCGAGUCCGGGGUGAAAUCGUUCAGCUCAACUGGAAAAGUGCCCCGGAGACCGGCCGUCUCGAGGGAGGUAGGGGCAUGCGGAACUUCCGGGGGAGCGGUGAAAUGCGUAGAUAUCGGAAGGAACGCCGGUGGCGAAAGCGGCGUGCUGGACCUCUUCUGACGCUGAGGCGCGAAAGCUAGGGGAGCGAACGGGAUUAGAUACCCCGUAGUC
RNAcentral lists this ribosomal RNA (300 nucleotides) under uncultured Thermovibrio sp. RNAcentral's name for it is "partial 16S ribosomal RNA". The stretch from base 53 to 300 matches the Rfam family "Bacterial small subunit ribosomal RNA", at positions 547 to 795 of the family's 1533-position model. The record is from RNAcentral. Lineage: Bacteria; Pseudomonadati; Aquificota; Aquificia; Desulfurobacteriales; Desulfurobacteriaceae.